GACGUAGGGGGCGAGCGUUGUCCGGAAUUAUUGGGCGUAAAGGGCGUGUAGGCGGCUUUUCAAGUCAGCUGUGAAAUUCCUCGGCUCAACUGAGGGCUUGCAGUUGAAACUGAUUGGCUUGAGUACAGGAGAGGAUGGUAGAAUUCCCGGUGUAGCGGUGAAAUGCGUAGAUAUCGGGAGGAAUACCGGUGGCGAAGGCGGCCUUCUGGCCUGUCACUGACGCUGAGGCGCGAAAGCUAGGGGAGCGAACAGGAUUAGAUACC
RNAcentral lists this ribosomal RNA (263 nucleotides) under uncultured bacterium. RNAcentral's name for it is "partial 16S ribosomal RNA". It matches the Rfam family "Bacterial small subunit ribosomal RNA", at positions 524 to 786 of the family's 1533-position model. The record is from RNAcentral.